This 6773-nucleotide long non-coding RNA is filed under the name Homo sapiens (human). RNAcentral describes it as "HSALNT0391103". The record is from RNAcentral. Lineage: Eukaryota; Metazoa; Chordata; Mammalia; Primates; Hominidae.
GUAAAAAUUAAGACCACACCUGGACAGAGACCAUGUAAAAAGAGCCAAGACACAGGGCACGCUUCAGAAGUUCUGAGGAGGAUGACACCAGUGUGGGAGGUGGGACAUCCAACGGGUCUUUGGAACUGAUGGGUGACUGUAUCCAACCCAACACAAUACGCUUACAAGUAAUCUACCACAAUCGACAUUAUGUGGCUUGCUUAUUUCUUUAAUUUGAAGAGCUCCUAAUUUAAGCCUUCUGCUAAAUAUUCAGGUUCAAAAUGCUGGCAACUGAUAUUACCAACAAGAGAAAUCAUAAAAUGGGUAGGGGAAUAAGGGGGUUUGGGAAACAGUGAUCCUGGAUCACUAGAAGGAGGAAAUAUUCCAAGGAUGACAAGAAUUACAUUCAAGGGCCCAGCUGCAACAUGGACUCAAGCUGAAACUACACAAUUUCAGUAUCAAAUAUUUGAGAGAAGUUACCGUAAAAACUUUCACACACAGUUCUGUCCAGGCUCAUUUGUGACCCUCAGGCUUUCCUAUCCUGAAUCCAGGAAAAGGGAAUGAUCUCUAUCCACCAACAAAGCAAUUUAAAUCCAGGAACUGGCAGCAGCCAGAAAAACACAGCCUCGGGUCCAGGACAAUCCUUCCCUGUUAUCUUAAGCUAAGGAAUUUGUAGGCUUAGUAAGAAGAAAAAUAUCAGAAGCAACAUAUGUUUUUCAUUUAACUAUCACCUAGUUUUAUAAGGGCAAUUUAAAAAGAAAAUUAUAGAGGUAAUUUAAAAAGAAAAGUUUGGUAUUUGAUAAUUCUCAGUGGGCUGAAAAACUCAUUUAAGUUGCUUUCAUAACAUAAAAGGAUGAUAUGUAAGGCUCUGCUGUUCUGAGGCUGCUUCACCCACAGCGGUGGCUAUAAAUGAAGGUAACUGUGGGCACAAGUCCAAGUACAAAGUGCAUGAUUUUGAGGUUGAACAGAGUGAAUCGGUCCUUCAGGAACCAAGGCAAGAGUGGAGAGGCCCGUCUGCAGUUGAGGAUAAGAAGGCCUGGGAAUCUAAGGGCAAAGUUAGGCCCAGCCUAGCGCCAAAGGGUGAAAACAGCAAUGCGUUCAGAAGCCUGCGGUCUCAGCAGUCAGGCCAGGCCCCAGGGAACAAAAAGCUGGCACCUGCUCAGGAAGCAGAGUUAUUUUUCGUGUGGAGGUCACCAGGACCCUGCUUGCCUAAUCCUCCACACACUUGGGCCCCCUGACUGGCCAGGUAAAGCGACCUCUGAUCAGACUGGGCGGACAGAGCUGAAGGUGGGCCCCAGGGAGAGCUGGGUGUCAGGUGGCCAGAUGGGGGCAGGCUCUGGCUCACUGUUGUUAUUGUCCUCCAGGGCUCACUCAGACAGUGGCCUCAGAGGUUCACAGUAAAUGCCCCCAAACCCACACUAACCAAAGCCUGGUUCCACUUCUCUAGAUUUUUACUAAAAUAAGCCACACGAGGCCGGAGCAUCACUACUGCUCUUUAAAUACAAGAAAAUGUCCAGGCUUCUGUUUGCUCAUCUGCAAAAUGAGGGGAUUAGGCUAGAUAAACAAAGGCUGCUUCCAGGCCCCAAACUGCUGGGUAAUUGAGUGUGCUAGAACCAGAGACCAUGGUUUGGGCUCUAGACAACCUAUCAAGUGGUCACUGCCUCUGCCUCCUCCUGGGGACCACUUCAAGUUCCCUCUUCUCUCUGUCCUCCCAGUGGCUGGCUGCUAAGGCCAACUGAGCCGACCCUCCCACAGCCACAGCCAUGCAGGACAGCCAAGGCCAAGAGGAAGGACCUGACUGACACCCAGGAAGACUACAUGGUUUGUCCAAGGGCACAGCACUGACAACAUGGGCUUCCUGACACUGAGGCCCGAUGCCCGGCAGGGUGCCUUUUCAAACAUGCCACACACGCUCUUUAUUCCUGCUUUGUCCCAGCUUUUGUACCUGCCCUCUGUGCUCCGUCAUGGACAGCUCACUUACAAGCUAAGACCUCAGUUCUCAACCAGCAGCAUGUGACUGGCCGCACUGAGAAAUGAAAGGUCUCAUUAUCCAUCUGACAAUCUGGUACCAUAUAAAAUGGCUAGCCUCCUGCCCUCUACUCCUGAAACUCAAUUAUACCCAGGCUCAAAAAAAGAGACAAGCUUCUCUCAAGCCCUCAGGAACUGAAAGGCCAAAAAAGAAAGCUUCCUUCUCAACAGUCUCUUUUUCCCAUAGUUCCAGCAGACUACAAAGCCCUUGGGUUUUAACACUGACCCCCCAAGCCUUGUGAUGGGAAGGAGAGCUGUAGCUCAUGUUGUCGCCAGGCUCCCAUAGGUAUGAUUUCGUGCUGGAGAGGUGUUUAAGCAAAAGUCUGACAUGAUCAAAGUGGUACACAAAAUUAAUCACGUCCCGUCCCAGAAUGGAUGAGGGUGGCAGAGGCAACAUGGAAAAACAGGUCUGGAGUCUGGUUGUCUGGGAAGGCAGGCUCCAUUAUCAGGCUCACAAUUCUGCUGAACACAACUAACAAUGAAUACAUUGAAAAAAAAUUUCUGAAUGGCUGGGCACGGUGGCUCACACCUGUAAUCCCAGCUACUAGGGAGGCUGAGGCACAAGAAUUGCUUGAAUCCAUGAAACAGAGGUUUCAGUGAGCUGAGACUGUGGCACUGCACCCCAGCGUGGGUGACAAAGUGAGACUCUGACUCCAGAAAAAAAAAAGUCUGAAAGGCUUUGAAGCUUCAAGAACUGAGCAAGGAAUAACAGUACAGAAACUAAAGAAAACAGGAACCCCGAGGUAUGAGCUCUAGAGAAGCCACCUUGCCCUCAAGCAUUGGCCUAGCCUAGUCUGGCAAAGGACACUUUCACUUUUUUUUUUUUUUUUUUUUUUUUUUUUUUAAAGACAGAGUCUUGCUCUGUCACCCAGCCUGGAGUGCAGUGGCACAAUCUCGGCUCAUUGCAACCUCCGCCUCCCAGGUUCAAGUGAUUCUCCUGCCUCGGGCUCCCCAGUAGCUGGGACUACAGACGCCCGCCACCACACCUGGCUAAUUUUUGUAUUUUUAGUAGAAAUGGGGUUUCACCAUAUUGGCCAGGCUGGUCUUGAACUCCUGACCUUGUGAUCCACCAAUCUUGGCCUCCCAAAGUGCUGGGAUUACAGGUGUGAGCCACCACACCCGGCAGCCUUUCACUUUAACAGCCUCCUGAGCAGAAGUCAACAUCCAGGGCUGGCCAGCGUGGAACACCAACUGGAGACUCUUCCUCAAGGAGCCGGGACCCCAAAGGACUACAGCUACUAGGUAACAGGUGAACCAGAAGCAAACCAGGCCUCACUUAGACUGGAGGCCUAGGUUUGCCUCCUCUGAAAGAACCAGGGAAUCUCAACCAUGAGCUUCUUCCAAGGUGGUCUUGGACCAGAAAUACCUCCAGGGACCUGGCAGAAGAAAUUCUCUCCCCACGAAAGCAAAGCACUUUCACCCGAAGCCUCAAGUUAUUCCGAGAAAUACUUUCUCAAAUACAAUGAAUGGUAAGCACAUAACCAAAGGUAACCAAGCAGAUGAGGAAACAAGACUAAGGACCAGCAGAAAUAGAAUAUAACAGAAAAAUAAGGACUUCAGAUAAUGGAAUUAUCAGGCAUAGAUUUGUUUUUACAAGUAUGCAUCAAGAUGAGUUUAAAAUACCUACAGGGAGUCCAGGCACAGUGGCUCACGCCUGUAAUCCCAGCACUUUGGGAGGCUGAGGUGGGUGGAUCCCUUGAGGUCAGGAAUUCGAGACCAGCCUGGCCAACAUGGCAAAACCUCAUCUCUACUAAAAAUACAAAAAUCAGCUGGACGUGGUGGCGCAUGCCUGUAAUUCAAGCUACUCAGGAGGCUGAGACACAAGAAUCGCUUGAAACUGAGAGAAGGAGGUUUCAGUAAGGCAAGAUUGGGCCACUGCACUCCAGCCUGGGCAACAGAGUGAGACUCCAUCUCAUCAAAUAAAAUAAAAUAAAAUAAAAUAAAAUAAAAUAAAAUAAAAUAUCUAAAGGGAGAAUUACAGGCAAGCAGACCAGUUUUAAGGCUAUUCUGGCAGCCAAAGCAUGAUGUAAGAAAUGCCUAAACUAGAGGAGUGGAUGUGGAGCUGGCAAGAAAAGGCAGAUGGAAAGAGAAGGAAAAGAAUGAAGCAACAGGACCAGAUGGAAGGUUGGAAAGGAAAAGAAAACAUGAGGAACAGUCCAAAUUGACUUAAGUCACUAAAGAGAUAAGUCUAGUUCCUGUGAAGGCAGGCAGGGGAGAUAAGGGACGUGGUACACAGGUAAUGCUCCUCCCCUACCCCACUCAGAGACGUCCACAUCCUAGUCCCUAAAACCUGUGAAUCUGUUACUUCCCAUGGCAACAGAGAUUUUGCAGAUAUGAUUGAGAUGGAAAGAUUAUCCUGGAUUGCCUGGGUGGGCCCAAUGUAAUCACAAGUGCCCUUAAAAGAUAUGAGGAAGGCAGAAACUCAGAGAAGGCGAUGUGAAACAGAAGCAGACAUCAGAGUAAUGAGAGCAAGGAGCAUGACCCAAGGAAUGCAGGUGGCCUAUGGAGGGGAAGAAAAUAUCUGCAAAUCAUUUAUCUGAUAAGGGGUUAAUAUCCAGAAAAUGUAAAGAACUCUAAUAACAAACAACUUGACACCUUAUACAAAAAUUAACUCAAGAUGGAUUAAAGACUUAAACGGAAAACCCAAAAACUAUAAAAACCCUAGAAGAAAAUCUAGGCAAUACCAUUCAUGACAUAGGCACAGACAAAGAUUUCAUGAUGAAAACGUCAAAAGCAAUUGCAACAAAAGCAAAAACUGACAAAUGGAAUCUCAUUAAACUAAAGAGCUUCUGUGCAGCAAAAUAAACUAUCAUCAGAGUGAACAGGCAACCUACAGAAUGGGAGAAAAUUUUUGUAAUCUAUCCAUCUGACAAAGGUCUAAUAUCCAGAAUCUACAAGGAACCUAAACAAACGUACAAGAAAAAAACAACCCCAUUAAAAAGUGGGCAAAGGACAUGAACAGACAUUUCUCAAAAGAAGACAUUUAUGCAGCAAAAAAAAUAUGAAAAAAAGCUAAAUAUCACUGAUCAUUAGAGAAAUGCAAAUCAAAACCACAAUGAGAUACCAUCUCACACCAGUCAGAUGACAAUUAUUAAAAAGUCAAGAGAAAACAGAUGCUGGUGAGACUGUGGAGAAAUAGGAAUGCUUUUACACUGUUGGUGGGAAUAUAAAUUAGUUCAACCAUUGUGGAAGACAGUGUGGCAAUUCCUCAAAGACCUAGAACCAGAAAUACCAGUUGACCCAGCAAUGCCAUUACUGGGUAUAUACCCAAAGGAAUAUAAAUCAUUCUCUUAUAAAGAUACAUGCACACAUACGUUCACUGCACCACUAUUCACAAUAGUAAAGACACAGAAUCAACCCAAAUGCCCAUCAAUGAUAGACUGGACUAAAAAAAUGUGGUAUAUAUACACCAUGGAAUACUAUGCAGCCAUAAAAAGAAAUGAGAUCAUGUCCUUUCCAGGGACAUGGAUGGAGCUAGAAGCCAUUAUCCUCAGCAAACUAACACAGUAACAGAAAACCAAACACUGCAUGUUCUUACUUAUAAGUGGGACCUGAACAAUGAGAACACUUGGACACAGAGAAGGGAAUAACACACACUGGGGCCUGUCAGGGGGCAGGGGGCAGGAAGAGGGAGAGCAUCAGGAUAAAUAGCUAAUGCAUGUGGGGGUUAACACCUAGGUUGACAGGUGCAGCAAACAAGCAUGGCACACAUUUACCUAUGUUAACAAACCUGCAAGUCCUGCACAUGUAUCCUGGAACUUAAAAUUAAAUUACAUUUUUAAAAAAAUGGGCAAAGGACUUGAAAGGACAGUUCUCCAAAAAGAUAUACAAAUGGGCAACAAGCACAUGGAAAGAUGCUCAACAUCACUAGUUAUUAGGAAAAUGCAAUUAAAACCGCAAUGAGAUAUCACCCCACAUCCAUUAGGAUGACUACAAUUAAAAAAGAAGAAAAGAAGUGUUGGCAAGGUUGUACAGAGAUUAGAGUUUUUGUGCACUAUUGGCAAGACUGUAAAAUGGCGCAACUGGUAUGGAAGUUUCUCAAAAGUUAAAAAUAGAACUACCAUAUAAUCCUCCAAUCCCACUUCUGGGUAUAUAUCCAAAAGAAUUGAAAGCAGGGUCUCAAAAAGAUAUUUGCACACCCAUGUUCACAGUGGCAUUUCAGACAAUGGCCAAGAGGUGGAAGCAACCCAAGUGUCCACUGACAGAUGAAUGGACAAACACAAGGGAAUAUUAUUCAGCCUUAAAAGGAAGGAAAUCCUGUCACAUGCUACUACAUGGAUGAACCUUGAGGACAUUAUGCUAACGAAAUAAGCUGACUAGUCACAUAAAGACAAAUACUGUAUGAUUCCACUUACAAGAGGUAUCUAAAGUAGUCAAAUUCAUAGCAACAGAAAGGAAAAUGAAGAGUUCCAUGGGCUGGCAGAGGAGGAAAUGGGGAGAUGUUGUUUAAUGGAUACAGAAUUUCAGUUUUAUAAGAUGAAAAAGUUCUGGAGAUUGGUUGUAUAACAAUGUGAAUAUACUUAAUACUACCGAACUUAAAAAUGGUUAAGAUGGUAAAAUUUUGCUAUACGUAUUUUAUCAUAAUUAAAAAUAAAAUUUGAAGGCCAGUAUAUGUGCAGGUUAGUUACAUUUUAAAAAGCAAAAAUUGGUCAGGCGCGGUGGCUCACGCUUGUAAUCUCAGCACUUUGGGAGGCUGAGGUGGGUGGAUCACCAGGUCAAGAGAUUGAGACCAUCCUGGCCAACAUGGUGAAACCCGUCUCUACUAA